RNAcentral lists this long non-coding RNA (247 nucleotides) under Mytilus galloprovincialis (Mediterranean mussel). Lineage: Eukaryota; Metazoa; Mollusca; Bivalvia; Mytilida; Mytilidae. The record is from RNAcentral.
AUCAUCAUUGCCGAACACAUAAUUCAUUUGAAAAGGUCUUCAUGAAUCGAUUGGACGUACACACUGACAGAAAUAUUUGCCACUGGUCUUUAUACUCAAACAACGAUUCACUCAUAUAUGUAUUACUGAAAAAAGGGUGAGGUUAAUUGUGUGUAGUAUCUCAGAUCCGUUAAAAUACAAUUAGAAAUAAAAAAAAAACAUUACCCUCUCCCUUUGCCAAAUACUCCUUGGAGAAAAAAUACCAUUU